RNAcentral lists this ribosomal RNA (465 nucleotides) under uncultured Klebsiella sp. RNAcentral's name for it is "bacterial SSU rRNA". It matches the Rfam family "Bacterial small subunit ribosomal RNA", at positions 338 to 795 of the family's 1533-position model. The record is from RNAcentral. Lineage: Bacteria; Pseudomonadati; Pseudomonadota; Gammaproteobacteria; Enterobacterales; Enterobacteriaceae.
CCUACGGGCGGCUGCAGUGGGGAAUAUUGCACAAUGGGCGCAAGCCUGAUGCAGCCAUGCCGCGUGUGUGAAGAAGGCCUUCGGGUUGUAAAGCACUUUCAGCGGGGAGGAAGGCGUUAAGGUUAAUAACCUUGUCGAUUGACGUUACCCGCAGAAGAAGCACCGGCUAACUCCGUGCCAGCAGCCGCGGUAAUACGGAGGGUGCAAGCGUUAAUCGGAAUUACUGGGCGUAAAGCGCACGCAGGCGGUCUGUCAAGUCGGAUGUGAAAUCCCCGGGCUCAACCUGGGAACUGCAAUCGAAACUGGCAGGCUAGAGUCUUGUAGAGGGGGGUAGAAUUCCAGGUGUAGCGGUGAAAUGCGUAGAGAUCUGGAGGAAUACCGGUGGCGAAGGCGGCCCCCUGGACAAAGACUGACGCUCAGGUGCGAAAGCGUGGGGAGCAAACAGGAUUAGAUACCCCUGUAGUC